GUUUGACCUCGGAUCAGGUAGGGAUACCCGCUGAACUUAAGCAUAUCAAUAAGCGGAGGAAAAGAAACCAACAGGGAUUGCCUCAGUAACGGCGAGUGAAGCGGCAACAGCUCAAAUUUGAAAUCUGGCCUCUUCGGGGUCCGAGUUGUAAUUUGUAGAGGAUGCUUCGGAGUCGGCUCCGGUCUAAGUGCCUUGGAACAGGACGUCACAGAGGGUGAGAAUCCCGUAUGUGGCCGGCCGCUUUCUCCAUGUGAAGCUCCUUCGACGAGUCGAGUUGUUUGGGAAUGCAGCUCUAAAUGGGAGGUAAAUUUCUUCUAAAGCUAAAUAUUGGCCAGAGACCGAUAGCGCACAAGUAGAGUGAUCGAAAGAUGAAAAGCACUUUGGAAAGAGAGUUAAAAAGUACGUGAAAUUGUUGAAAGGGAAGCGCUUGCAACCAGACUUGCCCGCGGUUGCUCAACCGGCCUUUUGGCUCGGUGCACUCUUCCGCGGUCAGGCCAGCAUCGGUUCGGGCGGUCGGAUAAAGGCCUUGGGAAUGUAGCACCCUUCGGGGUGUGUUAUAGCCCUCGGUGCAAUGCGGCCAGCCUGGACCGAGGUCCGCGCUUCGGCUAGGAUGCUGGCGUAAUGGUUGUAAGCGGCCCGUCUUGAAACACGGACCAAGGAGUCUAACAUCUAUGCGAGUGUUUGGGUGUCAAACCCAUGCGCGUAAUGAAAGUGAACGGAGGUGGGAACCCUUGGGUGCACCAUCGACCGAUCCUGAUGUCUUCGGAAGGAUUUGAGUAUGAGCAUAGCUGUUGGGACCCGAAAGAUGGUGAACUAUGCCUGAAUAGGGUGAAGCCAGAGGAAACUCUGGUGGAGGCUCGCAGCGGUUCUGACGUGCAAAUCGAUCGUCAAAUUUGGGUAUAGGGGCGAAAGACUAAUCGAACCAUUGACACAAGUCAAGCUACUAGGUGGUUUAAAGGCGACCCCAUCCCUCGCGGUGGAAGGCUCGCCUAGUCCCCACAUCCGGGGCUACACUACUAAAUUGCGGGGACGCUCUGAGGGCUCGAGACUACCGCGGCCGCCCCGAAAGGGACGGUGCAGCACCGGGGUGUACCACCCCGCGGUACGGUGAAAACGUCCGAGACUGAGCAACCGCGCAGCCAAGUCCUAACCCGGGCACCCCCCGGCACGGAUGCAGUUCACAGACUAGACGGUAGUGGGUGCGAGCGAACGCUCGCGCUUAAGAUAUAGUCGGACCCCCUCGAGAGGAGGGUUCGCGGGAGGAAGCCCUCGCGUCGGAUGCCCCUUUGACCUCGGUCGGAGGGGGUGCGUCGGGGGCCCGAGACCCGCGAAGGGGAGGCGUCGCCACCCC
Molecule: ribosomal RNA, 1351 nt
Filed under: Hysteropatella prostii
Lineage: Eukaryota; Fungi; Ascomycota; Dothideomycetes; Patellariales
Description: eukaryotic LSU rRNA
Rfam family: Eukaryotic large subunit ribosomal RNA
Source: RNAcentral